AUUGAACGCUGGCGGCAGGCCUAACACAUGCAAGUCGAACGGUAACAGGAAGAUUCUUGCUUCUUUGCUGACGAGUGGCGGACGGGUGAGCAAUGUCUCUGAAACUGCCUGAUGGAGGGGGAUCGCUACUGGAAACGGUUACUACUACCGCCUAACGGCGCAAGCCCAGAGAGGGUCGCCUACGGGUCUCUUGCCUUCGUAUGUGCCCGGAUGGGAAUAGCUAGUAGGUGGGGUAACGGCUCACCUAGGCGACGAGCCGUAGCUGGUCUGAGAGGAUGACCAGCCACACUGGAACUGAGACACGGUCCAGACUCCUACGGGAGGCAGCAGUGGGGAAUAUUGGACAAUGGGCGCAAGCCUGAUGCAGCCAUGCCGCGUGUGUGAAGAAGGCCUUCGGGUUGUAAAGUACUUUCAGCGGGGAGGAAGGGCGUUAAGUUAAUACCUUGGCAAAUUGACGGUACCCGCAGAAGAAGCACCGGCUAACUCCGUG
Molecule: ribosomal RNA, 490 nt
Filed under: uncultured bacterium
Lineage: Bacteria
Description: partial 16S ribosomal RNA
Rfam family: Bacterial small subunit ribosomal RNA
Source: RNAcentral